Non-coding RNA from Nothobranchius furzeri (turquoise killifish), 3506 nucleotides. The record is from RefSeq and is a predicted model, not a curated record. Lineage: Eukaryota; Metazoa; Chordata; Actinopteri; Cyprinodontiformes; Nothobranchiidae.
UGUGAUUUUAGUUUUCAGCAGAAACAGACUUUUUUGGGAGUGGGGGUGGGGAGUGGCUCUGCACCUGCACUGGACAGGGGAGCAAAAGUUCAUGAUGCAUUCAGGGAAAAUUGGUGUGUCCAACUAUACUGAAAUAAAAACAUCUAAAGAGGUUUAUUUGUGAAUGCUAUGAGUUUUCUGUAAAAUGAUUAUUGCUUAAAUAUUGCACAUGAAAUUAGCUCAUGCCUGAAGUCUGUUAAGACAUUAUCAGCUGGAAAACCCUAAAUUUUUAAUGUAUCAAGUUUGCAGUCUCAUUGUUCGUGAAAGCAGCAUGUGCAUUGUAGAUGGAAAGUACCGGAGCUGCCCUGGAUCUCUCCAACUUUGUCAGUCUUUGACUAAUUCUACAGAGGAAAAGAGGAAUAACUCCACAGCCCAAAAAGACAUGCAGAGCCAAUGCCCCUCAGGAGCUGGGAUUCCAGAGGAUUUCAAUGAGAAAGAGAAAACAGCAUCUUUCAAAAGAUAAAAGCUGAGAAACAAAAGCAAUGGGCUCGACCAAAGUUCUGAAGAUGAACCCACCUUGUGCACCCAAAGGCCUACAGGGAAAUCAAAGAAGAAGCAGACCAACAAAGGAACACCCACCCAUUCCCCUUCCCUGCUCACUGUCCAUGGUUUUACUCAAGAUCAUCCAGAUAUGAUGAGCCAAGAACCUUCAGGAGCUGAGUGGUCUAAGGAGUCAAAUGGAAAGGACAAAACAGACAUGGAUCAACAGGAUUUAACCUCUAAGAAAUUCAACCGAAAGAUUUGGAGCAAAUCUGGGAAAGAAGCGGUUUGGCAACAGCUUGGUCGGUACAUCACUCUUGAAAGAGUUCCUGGUAAAAUGCUGUGUGUGAAAGCACUCAGUACAGAGACAGCACUUUAGAACAGAAGUUGGAAAGAUGUAAAAAACUGCAUCUAUAACCACAUCCCUGAUCAAAAAAGAAAAAGGCUGUAGUUUUUGCGUUAAAAGCAGCAGGAGCUGAGUUAAUGCAUGUAAUGUUACAAGCAGAGCAUUUAAUGAUACCUAGUUAUUUUUAUUUUAUGAGACAUUGGAAAUAUGUUAAAAACUAUAAUUAUAACAGCAUUGCAGAUCAAAAAUGUUACAAGCAGAGCAUUUUAUGGUACCUAAAGAUAUUUAAAUUUUAUUACAUGUUGGAAAGAUGUUAAAAACUAUAAGUAGAACAGCAUCACAGUAGCAUUGCAGGGAUUAAUCGUUUUGACUAUUAACCCUGGUUAACCCCAAGUAAAUAGAUCUUCAAAACCAUCAAACUAAAACAAAAAGACAAUAGCGUAACUCGUAAGUACAAAAACAAAACUGAAACUGAACACGCGCCCGCAGCAGAAGCAUGAUCAGUGAAAACAACCAUCGGGACUCCUCCAUUUCUACCUCGGAAGAGGUUGAAUUCUCCUGUGUGGGAAUAGUUUAGAUAUAUUAGAUAUCAUCCCACACAGGAGACUUCAACCGCUUCUUAGGUGGAAAUGGAGGAGUCCCGAAGGUUGUUGUCACUGGUUCUGCUUCUGCUGCGUGAGCACGUUCAGUUUCACUUUUGUCUUUGUCCAUGAGGGUCAUGCCAUAGUCCUUUUUUUAUUGUUGGUGUGGUAGACAUCUUUAAGGGGGGUUAUCAGGGGUUAAUAGUCAAACUGGUUAAUCUCUGCAAGCCUACAUCACAGCUCAAAAAAGAAAAAAAACUGUAGUUGAUAUGUUUUAUUUUAAAAGCAGCAGAAGCUGAGUUAAUGCAUGCAAUGUUAAAUGCAGAGCAUUUAAUGGUACCUAAAGUUGUAUUAAUUUAUUAGAAGUUAGAAAUAUGUCAGAACUACUAGUAGAGCAGCAUCACAGCUCAAAAAGAAAAUAAAAACAAUAUUUGAAAAUUUUCUUUUUCAAAGCAGAAGGAUCUGAGUUCAUUUAUGUAAUUUUAUGCACCGUGUUUACUUUAUUUGGUAUCUAAAAUUUAUAUUUUAUCAGCAGAUGAAUUAGAAAGAUUUUAAAAACUGCAUGUAUAACUGCAUUUUAGCUCAAAAAAGAAAAAAGUAAACAUAUUCAAUUUUAAAAGAAACAGGAGCUGAGUUCAUAUAUGUAUGUAAUGUUUAAAGGUGCCUAAAGUUUAUUUUAGUUCAACUGUUGCAGUCACAAUUGCAAAGUUUAAUGAAAUCCUUUUUACUUCAAUAAAAUAACUACUUUGUAGUAAUUUCUGUCAUGUUUCCUGUUAUUUAUGUUCUGUAACUAAGAUUUACAGGGAGCUGCACGGCUGAAUGCAGUUUGAAUCCAGCUUAGUCUUUAUGGUGGUUGCAUAUUUUUUCUAUGUAUGUCUGGGUUCCUCCAGGAUAAUUUGAUACCUUUCACCAUCCAAAAUCAUUCUAUGUUUAUUAGUCGAUGAGCCGAUACCAAUAUUUGAUAUUAAUAUCACUGCUUCUGCAGUACUGCAGACGUUGUACCGAUCUGUCGUGGUGAAGAGAGAGCUGAGCCAGAAGGCAAAGCUCUCGAUUUACCGGUCGAUCUAUGUUCCUACCCUCACCUAUGGUCAUGAGUUUAGGGUAGUGACUGAAAGAACGAGAUUGCAGAUACAAAUGGCCAAAAAUAGUUUUCUCCGCAGGGUGGCUGGGCUCUCCCUUAGAGACCCGCUGCUCCUCCACAUCGAGUGGAGCCAGUUGAGGUGGCUAGGGCUUCUGGUUAGGAUGCUUCCUGGACGCCUCCCUGGUGAGGUUUUCCGGGCACGUCCAACCGGGAGAAGGCCUAAAGGAAGACCCAGGACACGCUGGAGAUACUAUGUCUCAUGGCUGGCCAGGGAACGCUUUGGGAUUCCCCCGGAGGAGCCGGCCCAAGUGGCUGGGGAGAGGGAAGUCUGGGCUCCCUUGUUUAGGCUACUGCCCCCACGACCCAACCCCGGAUAAGCGGACGACAAUGGAUGGAUGGAUGGAUGAUAUCACUGUUAUGGCCGAUAGCUGAUAUUUGCUGAUACAGAUAUACUGACAUGCUUCUAAAAUAAGCAAAUUUUGCACUGAUUGAAAAUUAUUAAAGCUGAAUUUACGUUGUUAUGUACACACACCACACACAUUUACGCCUAUGAGAAUAUUAAAAUAACUGUCACAUGGCUAAACAAAUACACACCACCCCCCUAACCAUCUGAAACAGAUAAACAAAUGGAAACAAAAUGGAAAAAAAAUAUUUGUUGUUAAUAUUGACCAAGUUUUAUUUAUCGGACCAAUACCAAUAUGUUAAAAAUAACUUAUUGAUGCAGAUUGUGCAUCCCUAAUGUUGAUGAUUGUCUGUCCUUUUAGUUUGCAGCAUUUGUGUGGUGCCUCGAUGAACUGUUACCUGCUCAGACUUCACCGCACAACUUGGAAUAGGGAAUUACAGAAAAAAUCCUUAUCUAAUAUUAUUUAAGCUAAAUCCUGGUGAAGGUUCUCCGAAAUGCAGUUUGUGUUAUUCCUUGUAGAUUUGGGUUGAGGCAACUGAGUUGUUUUGGUUAUUUGAAUGUUUCACUUCUUAUUUG